Molecule: transfer RNA, 65 nt
Filed under: Dipodomys ordii (Ord's kangaroo rat)
Lineage: Eukaryota; Metazoa; Chordata; Mammalia; Rodentia; Heteromyidae
Rfam family: tRNA
About the family: Transfer RNA (tRNA) molecules are approximately 80 nucleotides in length. Their secondary structure includes four short double-helical elements and three loops (D, anti-codon, and T loops).
Source: Rfam by way of RNAcentral
GGUGGCUCAUUGGUAGAGUGCUUGCCUGGCAUGCAUGAGGCCCUGGGUUCAAUUCCUCAGCACCA